GAUGAACGCUGGCGGCGUGCCUAAUACAUGCAAGUCGAGCGAACGGACGAGAAGCUUGCUUCUCUGAUGUUAGCGGCGGACGGGUGAGUAACACGUGGAUAACCUACCUAUAAGACUGGGAUAACUUCGGGAAACCGGAGCUAAUACCGGAUAAUAUUUUGAACCGCAUGGUUCAAAAGUGAAAGACGGUCUUGCUGUCACUUAUAGAUGGAUCCGCGCUGCAUUAGCUAGUUGGUAAGGUAACGGCUUACCAAGGCAACGAUGCAUAGCCGACCUGAGAGGGUGAACGGCGACACUGGAACGGAGAAACGGUCCAGACUCCUACAGGAGGCAGCAGUAGAGAAUCGUCCGCAAUGGGCGAAAGCCUGACGGUGCAACGCCGCGUGAGUGAUGAAGAUCUUCGGAUCGUAAAACUCUGUUAUUAGGGAAGAACAUAUGUGUAAAUAACUGUGCACAUCUUGACGGUACCUAAUCAGAAAGCCACGGCUAACUGCGUG
Molecule: ribosomal RNA, 497 nt
Filed under: uncultured bacterium
Lineage: Bacteria
Description: partial 16S ribosomal RNA
Rfam family: Bacterial small subunit ribosomal RNA
Source: RNAcentral